UGGGGAAUAUUGGACAAUGGGCGAAAGCCUGAUCCAGCCAUGCCGCGUGUGUGAAGAAGGUCUUCGGAUUGUAAAGCACUUUAAGUUGGGAGGAAGGGCAUUAACCUAAUACGUUAGUGUUUUGACGUUACCGACAGAAUAAGCACCGGCUAACUCUGUGCCAGCAGCCGCGGUAAUACAGAGGGUGCAAGCGUUAAUCGGAAUUACUGGGCGUAAAGCGCGCGUAGGUGGUUGGUUAAGUUGGAUGUGAAAUCCCCGGGCGCAACCUGAGAACUGCAUUCAAAACUGACUGACUAGAGUAUGGUAGAGUGUGGUGGAAUUUCCUGUGUAGCGGUGAAAUGCGUAGAUAUAGGAAGGAUCACCAGUGGCGAAGGCGACCACCUGGACUAAUACUGACACUGAGGUGCGAAAGCGUGGGGAGCAAACA
Molecule: ribosomal RNA, 427 nt
Filed under: uncultured bacterium
Lineage: Bacteria
Description: partial 16S ribosomal RNA
Rfam family: Bacterial small subunit ribosomal RNA
Source: RNAcentral